RNAcentral lists this ribosomal RNA (773 nucleotides) under uncultured bacterium. Its description in RNAcentral is "bacterial SSU rRNA". It matches the Rfam family "Bacterial small subunit ribosomal RNA", at positions 8 to 777 of the family's 1533-position model. The record is from RNAcentral.
AGAGUUUGAUCAUGGCUCAGGAUGAACGCUAGCGGCAGACUUAAUACAUGUGAGUCGAGGGGCAGCGGAUCCCUCCGGGGAUGCCGGCGACCGGCGAACGGGUGAGUAACACGUAUGGAACCUGCCCUUAACUGGGAAAUAGCUUUGAGAAAUCGAAGGUAAUGUCCCAUACCAUCUGAAGAAGGCAUCUUUUUCAGAUGAAAGCUCCGGCGGUUAAGGAUGGCCAUGCGGUCCAUUAGCUUGUUGGUGAGAUAACCGCUCACCAAGGCUGCGAUGGAUAGCUGAUCUGAGAGGAUGAUCAGCCACAUUGGCACUGAGACACGGGCCAAACUCCUACGGGAGGCAGCAGUAGGGAAUCUUGGUCAAUUGGCGAAAGCCAGAACCAGUCAUGCCGCGUGCAGGAUGAAGGCCCUACGGGUCGUAAACUGCUUUUACUCGGGAAGAAAAAGUCUGUUUCCACAGAUCUUGACGGUACCGAUUGAAUAAGGACCGGCCAACUCCGUGCCAGCAGCCGCGGUAAUACGGAGGGUCCAAGCGUUAUCCGGAUUCACUGGGUUUAAAGGGUGCGCAGGCGGCUAAGUAAGUCAGUGGUGAAAGCCUUCGGCUCAACCGGAGAAUUGCCAUUGAAACUACUUAGCUUGAGUGCAGUAGGGGUAGGCGGAAUGUAGCAUGUAGCGGUGAAAUGCAUAGAUAUGCUACAGAACACCGAUAGCGAAAGCAGCUUACCACACUGUAACUGACGCUGAGCACGAAAGCAUGGGUAGCAAACAGGA